RNAcentral lists this ribosomal RNA (253 nucleotides) under uncultured bacterium. RNAcentral describes it as "partial 16S ribosomal RNA". It matches the Rfam family "Bacterial small subunit ribosomal RNA", at positions 524 to 776 of the family's 1533-position model. The record is from RNAcentral.
UACGAAGGGGGCUAGCGUUGCUCGGAAUCACUGGGCGUAAAGGGCGCGUAGGCGGCCAUUCAAGUCGGAGGUGAAAGCCCAGGGCUCAACCCUGGAAUUGCCUUCGAUACUGUUUGGCUAGAGACCGGAAGAGGUAAGUGGAACUGCGAGUGUAGAGGUGAAAUUCGUAGAUAUUCGCAAGAACACCAGUGGCGAAGGCGGCUCACUGGCCCGGUACUGACGCUGAGGUGCGAAAGCGUGGGGAGCAAACAGG